RNAcentral lists this long non-coding RNA (2442 nucleotides) under Malus domestica (apple). Its description in RNAcentral is "long non-coding RNA (MDOM_LNC018186)". The record is from RNAcentral. Lineage: Eukaryota; Viridiplantae; Streptophyta; Magnoliopsida; Rosales; Rosaceae.
CAGUCUUGUUAGGUUGAGGCUGAAUAAUUGCAGAGAACUUGAGAGUCUUCCAAGCAGCAUUUCUCACAUGAAAUCUCUUGAAUACCUUGAUGUUUCUGGAUGCUCAAAGCUUGAAAAGUUUCCAGAAAUUUUGGAGGUUAUGAAGAAGCUAUCUGAGCUUUGUUUGGAUGCACUGCAAUUAAGGAGCUGCCUGCUUCUAUUUUAAAUCUCAUCAGUCUUGUUAGGUUGAGGCUGAAUAAUUGCAGAGAACUUGAGAGUCUUCCAAGCAGCAUUUCUCACAUGAAAUCUCUUAAAUACCUUGAUGUUUCUGGAUGCUCAAAGCUUGAGAAGUUUCCAGAAAUUUCAGAGGUUAUGAAGAAGCUAUCUGAGCUUUGUUUGGGUGGCACUGCAAUUAAGGAGCUGCCUGCUUCUAUUUUAAAUCUCAUCAGUCUUGUUAGGUUGAGGCUGAAUAAUUGCAGAGAACUUGAGAGUCUUCCAAGCAGCAUUUCUCACAUGAAAUCUCUUGAAUACCUUGAUGUUUCUGGAUGCUCAAAGCUUGAAAGUUUCCAGAAAGUUUUGGAGGUUAGGAAGAAGCCUAUCUGAGCUUUGUUUGGGUGGCACUGCAAUUAAGGAGCUGCCUGCUUCUAUUUUAAAUCUCAUCAGUCUUGUUUGGUUGAGGCUGAAUAAUUGCAGAGAACUUGAGAGUCUUCCAAGCAGCAUUUCUCACAUGAAAUCUCUUAAAUACCUUGAUGUUUCUGGAUGCUCAAAGAUUGAGAAGUUUCCAGAAAGUUUGGAGGUUAGGAAGGAGCUAUCUGAUCUUUGUUUGGGUGGCACUGCAAUUAAGGCGCUGCCUGCUUCUAUUUUAAAUCUCACCAGUCUUGUUACUUUGAAGUUGAAUGAUUGCAGAGAACUUGAGAGUCUUCCAAGCAUCAUUUCUCACAUGAAAUCUCUUGGAUACCUUGAUGUUUCUGGAUGCUCAAAGAUUGAGAAGUUUCCAGAAAUUUUGGAGGUUAUGAAGGAGCUAUCUAUUCUUUGUUUGGGUGGCACUGCAAUUAAGGAGCUGCCUGCUUCUAUUUUAAAUCUCACCAGUCUUGAUACUUUGAAACUGAAUGAUUGCAGAGAACUUGAGAGUCUUCCAAGCAUCAUUUCUCACAUGAAAUCUCUUAAAUACCUUGAUGUUUCUGGAUGCUCAAAGCUUGAGAAGUUUCCAGAAAUUUUGGAGGUUAUGAAGAAGCUAUCUGAGCUUUGUUUGGGUGGCACUGCAAUUAAGAAGCUGCCUGCUUCUAUUUUAAAUCUCACCAGUCUUGGUAGGUUGAGGCUGAAUAAUUGCAGAGAACUUGAGAGUCUUCCAAGCAGCAUUUCUCACAUGAAAUCUCUUAAAUACCUUGAUGUUUCUGGAUGCUCAAAGCUUGAAAAGUUUCCAGAAAUUUUGGAGGUUAGGAAGAAGCUAUCUGAGCUUUGUUUGGGUGGCACUGCAAUUAAGGAGCUGCCUGCUUCUAUUUUAAAUCUCAUCAGUCUUGUUAGGUUGAGGCUGAAUAAUUGCAGAGAACUUGAGAGUCUUCCAAGCAGCAUUUCUCACAUGAAAUCUCUUAAAUACCUUGAUGUUUCUGGAUGCUCAAAGAUUGAGAAGUUUCCAGAAAUUUUGGAGGUUAGGAAGGAGCUAUCUGAUCUUUGUUUGGGUGGCACUGCAAUUAAGGAGCUGCCUGCUUCUAUUUUAAAUCUCACCAGUCUUGUUACUUUGAAUUUGAAUGAUUGCAGAGAACUUGAGAGUCUUCCAAGCAGCAUUUCUCACAUGAAAUCUCUUGAGUACCUUGAUGUUUCUGGAUGCUCAAAGAUUGAGAAGUUUCCAGAAAUUUUGGAGGUUAGGAACGUGCUAUCUAAGCUUUGUUUGGGUGGCACUGCAAUUAAGGAGCUGCCUGCUUCUAUUUUAAAUCUCACCAGUCUUGUUACUUUGAAUUUGAAUGAUUGCAGAGAACUUGAGAGUCUUCCAAGCUGCAUUUCUCACAUGAAAUCUCUUGAAUACCUUGAUGUUUCUGGAUGCUCAAAGCUUGAGAAGUUUCCAGAAAAUUUGGAGGUUAUGAAUGAGCUAUCUGAGCUUUGUUUGGGUGGCACUGCAAUUAAGGAGCUGCCUGCUUCUAUUUUAAAUCUCACCAGUCUUGUUACUUUGAAGUUGAAUGAUUGCGGAGAACUUGAGAGUCUUCCAAGCAUCAUUUCUCACAUGAAAUCUCUUAAAUACCUUGAUGUUUCUGGAUGCUCAAAGCUUGAGAAGUUUCCAGAAAUUUUGGAGGUUAGGAAGGAGCUAUCUAAGCUUUGUUUGGGUGGCACUGCAAUUAAGAAGCUGCCUGCUUCUAUUUUAAAUCUCACCAGUCUUGAUACUUUGAAACUGAAUGAUUGCAGAGAACUUGAGAGUCUUCCAAGCAGCAUUUCUCACAUGAAAUCUCUUAAAUACCUUGAUGUUUCUGG